This 407-nucleotide long non-coding RNA is filed under the name Rattus norvegicus (Norway rat). RNAcentral's name for it is "long non-coding RNA NONRATT015551". Lineage: Eukaryota; Metazoa; Chordata; Mammalia; Rodentia; Muridae. The record is from RNAcentral.
GCGGCGGGAAUAGGGGCUUCUACUCAGACCCAAGACUCUCGUAACCCGACAGCGCCUUGGAGCCUAAAUCUAAGCACGAUUCAGACAGGACGCUCGUCGCGUCUUGCCAGAGCCCCAACCACGGAUUGCGAACUCUGCCCGAGCUAGGGGCCGCCUGCUGCUCCCUGGACCUUGCUGACCCGGAUCUCGGAGCAAGUACCUUGGGAGGCAGCCUGAUGAGGGAAGAAGGGGAAAGCGGGGCACGUUCAGCCAUUUCUUCUCACCCGUCCUUUCUAUCCUUCGUUCAGCAUAGGGGGGCCAGCAUAUGGGUGAGGGGGUACUCCCUGGGGCUUGAGCUGCCCCGCACAGGAUGCCCCGUGCCCCCCACUCCAUGCCCUUGCUGCUGCUGUUGCUGCUGUCACUCCCCC